Non-coding RNA from Pelobates cultripes (western spadefoot toad), 241 nucleotides. NCBI's taxonomy places the organism in Eukaryota, Metazoa, Chordata, Amphibia, Anura, Pelobatidae. The record is from the annotation of a GenBank genome assembly.
CUUCUCUUUAAUCUGUUUAUAAAUAAUCUUGAAGUAGGCAUUUGCAGGUGUUUGCAGAUGACAGAAAACUAGGUAAGUUUAUACAGUUUGAACAUGAUAUAAGGUCUUUACAGAUGGAUUUGGAUACAUUGGGGGACUGGGCAGGCAUUUUGCAAAUGAGAUUCAAUACAGAUAAAUGCAAAGUCAUUUUUUUUUCAAUAAAACACCCCACUAGUCGCCUAUACAAUAAAUUAAAUUAAAG